AGGUGAUCGUUUCCAUAUUAUGGAAGGCUUGAGAAUGACUGACAAGAUCUGCUUUUGCAGCUCUUAUUUCUGCCAACCAAAUUACUGAGGACAAGAGUGAAUAGUGCAUAUUUAGAAAAUGUAUUUUUAAAGUUGGGCUUUGGCUGAACAGUAACUUCAUGAGAAAGUGAAGCCUCCCCUUCCCAACUAGCUGUGACUGAAAUACAGCAAAUGAAGUAGGGGGAAAAAAGGAAUGUAGUAAAGAAAUUAAGCUAUAUAGCCAAAAAGAAGUUUCACCAGACAUGCACCAGCACCCUGCACCCUCUUCACAGGCUUGGGAUCAAAGCUGGGUGCUCAUAUCCGAGGGCUGAUUAGCCCUUUCCCGAUUAACUCUUUCCUCCCACCCUGGCUACCUCCCACACAUCAGAUAUUUGACAGUCCCCUCCUUAUCUGCUUUUGCUGCCAGGUGGUCUGGCAUUCACUUAUCAUGGCCUCAGAGGACUCUAUGCAGCACGGGGGAUUGGAAAAAACAAACCAAAUUCUUCUUCUGAGCCAGGCAGGCAAAGACACUGAGAACUGGAUCAUUUGCCUUUGUUAUUCAUACCGGAACAGAGAAAGAGCCAUAGGAUCUGAAAACUGUGGUCAGUUCAGACACCAAACGUAUUCAAAAUGCAACCUGGAAAUAAAAGGCAUCCUGUGGAGGAGAGGUUCCUGGCGGCUCUGAACUCGUGUAUGCUGGGAAGGUCAGGCUCUGGUGGGACCACCAAAGCCCAAGAGUCACCAAAAGAAGCAGACCUACAGCCAGCACUCCAGCAGGAAGCUGCUUCUCCCUGGGAGUCCCCCAGCUCCAGACGGCGGUCACAGCCACAGCAGAGGGGCCGCUGCCAUCCCCUGCACGCCAACACGCAUCCCGUAGGGCGAGGGUGUUUCUUGUAAGUUCAUUUUCUGAUCUGGGCCAGCAAAGUUGGCCAGUUGAUCUGGUUGUAACAGUGGUGGCCACCUUCUGCCUUCCUCCAGCCCAUGUGAGGAGGAUGGCCAUGGAGAUGUUACUCUGAGCCUGAACCAAGAGCUGGCUGCCCAGGAUCUCAGACGUCCUUCCUGUGAAGCAUUCAGGAAGAGCUGCAACACCUCUGAGACAGGAACAACUGCCCCAGGCACACCUCUGAAGGCAGUGGCAGGCAGAGGCAAAUAGCACCAGCCUCUCUGGGUGCCUGCCAACAAGAAAAGCAGCAGGAGCUGACACUGCCAUUGUGGGAGCUUUUUUUCAACAUGAUCCUUUAGCAGUCCGUUCCCCAGGAUAGUUAACUAUUAUACUUAAACACCAUGCAUCUGCAUGUGUCUCCCAAUACUACUGCUACCGCAAAUAGUAAACAGGAUCAUCUUUUGUAUCUUUUCUGUAAUACAUCAUUUUUUACCUUGCUGUGCUCUUCCUCUUUCUUGUCCAUUAUCUAAAAUGCAUGCUGUUAUCCCUGAUUGCUCUUCAAAGAAAUUUUUGACACCCUCUUCAGUCUCCCUGAGCUCUGAGCAGGACUUACACUGUUUUCUAAAUGUCAGGUCACCAUCGGUUCCUGUUAAAAAAAGUAUUUUUUAUUCCACACGUAAGGAUUGUGGAAUUGGACGCAGCUUUUAAAAUGCUUUCUUCUAUUACCAAUAAUCUGUCUGCUUUUUUAUGUGGCUCCUACUGUCAUAAUAUGCAAAUAUCAACACCAUUCUUCUUUGUAACAACACAGUGGGGAAAGAAAGUGUUCUUAGUCACUCUGCAGAAGAACAGGUGCCAAGAGACUUAGGUUCUGGUCCAGAACAAUAUGUGGGCUCCAUUUCCUACUGCCAUUGGUGUCUGUGACAGUCUAGAAGUCUAAAGUCUUCAUUUAAUUGGACUUUUUCAAGAUAUGAAAAAAUUAUAGUCCAGAUGAGAAUUGAAUAUAUGUAUCUGUAUGCAUAAAUAGCUACCUUGUAUUACUAACCAAACACAGUAACCACAGGUGUGACCAUUUCUUGGUCACAGUCUUUAAAAAUGGUCUUUUCCUAAAUAGCUUUCCCACCAUCGCUGUCUGUUUCAUGAGCCCUUGCAGCUCUGAAGGUGAAAGAAUCUCUGUUUGUAGUCGUAACUACUAUUGCUUAUGGAGGGGAAAAUACCUGAGUGUUGUAAGUAAUGGUCAUGGGGUCAGGAGGACAGGAUAGGUCACAGAUGUAACUUAAGGGGCUUACGUUAAAGGAAGAGUAUUUCUAAACUCUGAGAUUAGAUAUUACGGUAAAAAUGCUCCUUUCCCUUUUCACUGUGUAAACAGUAAGUAAGCACAAAAAAAUAUAAAUUCUAGCUUAUUAGGAGCAAUGGUAACAAAGUAAUGAUUUUAAUGCACUUAAAAAAA
This is a long non-coding RNA of Anas platyrhynchos (mallard), 2348 nucleotides long. RefSeq lists it as uncharacterized. The record is from RefSeq and is a predicted model, not a curated record. Lineage: Eukaryota; Metazoa; Chordata; Aves; Anseriformes; Anatidae.